GGGCGGUUAGCUCAGCGGUAGAGCACUGCUUUCACACGGCAGGGGUCGCAGGUUCAAGCCCUGCACCGCCCACCA
RNAcentral lists this transfer RNA (75 nucleotides) under Gammaproteobacteria bacterium. Its description in RNAcentral is "tRNA-Val". It matches the Rfam family "tRNA". Rfam says of the family: Transfer RNA (tRNA) molecules are approximately 80 nucleotides in length. Their secondary structure includes four short double-helical elements and three loops (D, anti-codon, and T loops). RNAcentral also lists the same sequence under 4 other names. Lineage: Bacteria; Pseudomonadati; Pseudomonadota; Gammaproteobacteria. The record is from RNAcentral.